This 1503-nucleotide long non-coding RNA is filed under the name Gossypium barbadense (sea-island cotton). Its description in RNAcentral is "long non-coding RNA (GBAR_LNC004978)". The record is from RNAcentral. Lineage: Eukaryota; Viridiplantae; Streptophyta; Magnoliopsida; Malvales; Malvaceae.
AAAAAACAAAUUUAUAACACUAAAAAGUUUGUCAUAGCUGCUUAAAAAUAUACUAGUAAGUAAAUAAAAGAAAUUAUAAAGUUAUAAAAUAAAAGACCUAAUUAAAAUUAAACUAAAACACACAAGGUAAAAUUGAAAAUAAACAAAAACAGUGGAGGGACCAAUAGUCCAUGCGCGGAAACAGCUAGGGACUACAACUGACAAUAUACCAGAUCCCAAAAGGCUGUAUUCAAGCGCGGGUCCAUUUGCAAACGUGUAUAAAUUACAUAGCUAAAUUAAUAAAAAUAAAAAAAUAAAUGAGAGCCAAACGAAACAUGGUGCAACAGGGAGGGACCGAUGCUGUAAAUAGACCCUCUUCGUGAAAACGCGCGGGUCGUCGGGGCAGCUAAACGGAUCAGGUCGGGGCUCCAUCCUACGACGUCGAUUUUGACCCAUUGUAAUGGGCUUGAAACGGCGUCGCUUUUAACCCUUUAAAAGGGCUGAAGACUGAGUCAUUCAGCCGAACCCUAGCCCUUUCCCCUCUCUCGUUGCUCAAUCGACCUCCAAGUGCUCCUUUUAGCACUAAUUCGUCACUACGAGCGACGGUCUGUGCAUCCGAGCCCUAAAAGAGGGGUUUUCGCCUUUGAAACCCCCAUUUAAACUUUGAUUUCGACGAAGUAAAAGGGGGGACGACGAUUAGCUUCGCAAGGUAAGCUCCUCUUUCACCGUUCCUUUGUUCAUCUCUUUAUUUUCAAAACGAUAAUGGUGAAUGACCCCCAAACCAGAAACGCAAUGAUAUAUGGUAAACUAAGAGGAUUCGAGGAAGAAAAGAAAUCACCUCUGCUUUUUUUGUGCGUAUUCGUAUUGCUUUUGUUCAUAAAAAAAUCUCUCUUUACAGUAUCUAUUUGUAUAUUUUUGUUGCGUAAAUGCGCGUCCCCCCAUUACAAUGAACAUUUUCUGGCUUUAUAUCCGAAACGAAAGAAAAACAAAUAAAAGAAAAAUAAUAUUUUCUCUUUUGUCUCUGUUUGUUGCUGCGUUUGUCUUGUUCGCAGGUACGGAGCAGAGGACAUGCGCUGGCAAAUUGGUGCGGGGCGUACGGGGUGGUGCUGGCGUGUGUACGGGAGCAUGCGUGGCGCCAGGAGGAGUGUAUGGUGCCUGGAGGCUGCUGAGGUUGCUACGGCUUGAGGACCCCUUUUGCCCUAGGGUUUGCCAAAGCUGAGCAUGGGUUUCGGGCUGUUUGGGUCUGUCCAGUUAGUGGGCCCUUAUAUUUGGGCUAUGGGGCUACUGGUUUUUUGUAAUUGGACUAAAGUAUUUAAGGGACUGUUAUAAUUUUGUUUAUUUUAUGUUUUUUUUUGGUUUAUUUGGGACGGGCAAAUUUGGCCCAUUACAAUGUAUAUAGGAUCAAGCUAAUUUUACUAUGAAUAAUAUAUGUUCAUGUAGAUAUAAAACAUUUGAAUGAAAUAUUAUAUAAAGAUAUUAAAAUAAUAUAAAAAAGACUUCAAACUCAUUGUACAAAGAAAACUA